GCAGAGUAGGAUCACACGUGCUGGCCGGGUUCCGGCCUUUAGUGUCGGCGGGACGGGGAGUUGUCCGCCGGACGAACAGCGGUACCGCGCAAGCGGCCCGCGGCAGUGGGUGGUCCGCAUCCCGCUGC
This 128-nucleotide non-coding RNA is filed under the name uncultured Lawsonibacter sp. RNAcentral describes it as "THF riboswitch". It matches the Rfam family "THF (Tetrahydrofolate) riboswitch aptamer". Rfam says of the family: THF riboswitch presents a pseudoknot that joins P1-P2 and the loop of P3 and two THF binding. Lineage: Bacteria; Bacillati; Bacillota; Clostridia; Eubacteriales; Oscillospiraceae. The record is from RNAcentral.